GGGAUACCGCCCUGACUGUAUUGAAAUUCUAACCUACGGGUCUUAUCGACCCGGGAGACAGUGUCAGGUGGGCAGUUUGACUGGGGCGGUCGCCUCCUAAAGUGUAACGGAGGCGCCCAAAGGUUCCCUCAGAAUGGUUGGAAAUCAUUCGUAGAGUGCAAAGGCAUAAGGGAGCUUGACUGCGAGACCUACAAGUCGAGCAGGGACGAAAGUCGGGCUUAGUGAUCCGGUGGUUCCGCAUGGAAGGGCCAUCGCUCAACGGAUAAAAGCUACCCCGGGGAUAACAGGCUUAUCUCCCCCAAGAGUCCACAUCGACGGGGAGGUUUGGCACCUCGAUGUCGGCUCAUCGCAUCCUGGGGCUGUAGUCGGUCCCAAGGGUUGGGCUGUUCGCCCAUUAAAGCGGUACGCGAGCUGGGUUCAGAACGUCGUGAGACAGUUCGGUCCCUAUCCGUCGUGGGCGUAGGAAAUUUGAGAGGAGCUGUCCUUAGUACGAGAGGACCGGGAUGGACGCACCGCUGGUGUACCAGUUGUUCUGCCAAGGGCAUAGCUGGGUAGCUAUGUGCGGAAGGGAUAAGUGCUGAAAGCAUCUAAGCAUGAAGCCCCCCUCAAGAUGAGAUUUCCCAUAGCGUAAGCUAGUAAGAUCCCUGAAAGAUGAUCAGGUUGAUAGGUUCGAGGUGGAAGCAUGGUGACAUGUGGAGCUGACGAAUACUAAUAGAUCGAGGACUUAACCAUAUAA
Molecule: ribosomal RNA, 736 nt
Filed under: Bacillus anthracis (anthrax bacterium)
Lineage: Bacteria; Bacillati; Bacillota; Bacilli; Caryophanales; Bacillaceae
Also listed under: 16 other names
Description: partial 23S ribosomal RNA
Rfam family: Bacterial large subunit ribosomal RNA
Source: RNAcentral